UGCAAGUCGAGCGGACAGAAGGGAGCUUGCUCCCGGAUGUUAGCGGCGGACGGGUGAGUAACACGUGGGUAACCUGCCUGUAAGACUGGGAUAACUCCGGGAAACCGGAGCUAAUACCGGAUAGUUCCUUGAACCGCAUGGUUCAAGGAUGAAAGACGGUUUCGGCUGUCACUUACAGAUGGACCCGCGGCGCAUUAGCUAGUUGGUGGGGUAAUGGCUCACCAAGGCGACGAUGCGUAGCCAACCUGAGAGGGUGAUCGGCCACACUGGGACUGAGACACGGCCCAGACUCCUACGGGAGGCAGCAGUAGGGAAUCUUCCGCAAUGGACGAAAGUCUGACGGAGCAACGCCGCGUGAGUGAUGAAGGUUUUCGGAUCGUAAAGCUCUGUUGUUAGGGAAGAACAAGUGCGAGAGUAACUGCUCGCACCUUGACGGUACCUAACCAGAAAGCCACGGCUAACUACGUGCCAGCAGCCGCGGUAAUACGUAGGUGGCAAGCGUUGUCCGGAAUUAUUGGGCGUAAAGGGCUCGCAGGCGGUUUCUUAAGUCUGAUGUGAAAGCCCCCGGCUCAACCGGGGAGGGUCAUUGGAAACUGGGAAACUUGAGUGCAGAAGAGGAGAGUGGAAUUCCACGUGUAGCGGUGAAAUGCGUAGAGAUGUGGAGGAACACCAGUGGCGAAGGCGACUCUCUGGUCUGUAACUGACGCUGAGGAGCGAAAGCGUGGGGAGCGAACAGGAUUAGAUACCCUGGUAGUCCACGCCGUAAACGAUGAGUGCUAAGUGUUAGGGGGUUUCCGCCCCUUAGUGCUGCAGCUAACGCAUUAAGCACUCCGCCUGGGGAGUACGGUCGCAAGACUGAAACUCAAAGGAAUUGACGGGGGCCCGCACAAGCGGUGGAGCAUGUGGUUUAAUUCGAAGCAACGCGAAGAACCUUACCAGGUCUUGACAUCCUCUGACAACCCUAGAGAUAGGGCUUUCCCUUCGGGGACAGAGUGACAGGUGGUGCAUGGUUGUCGUCAGCUCGUGUCCUGAGAUGUUUGGGUUAAGUCCCGCAACGAGCGCAACCCUUGAUCUUAGUUGCCAGCAUUCAGUUGGGCACUCUAAGGUGACUGCCGGUGACAAACCGGAGAAAGGGGGGGGAUGAAGUCCAAUCAUCCUGGCCCCUUUUAACUGGGGGUAACACCUGGUUCAAUGGGACAGAAAAAAGGGUGGCGAAAACGCCAGGGUUAGCCAACCCC
This 1238-nucleotide ribosomal RNA is filed under the name Bacillus safensis. RNAcentral's name for it is "bacterial SSU rRNA". It matches the Rfam family "Bacterial small subunit ribosomal RNA", at positions 56 to 1275 of the family's 1533-position model. Lineage: Bacteria; Bacillati; Bacillota; Bacilli; Caryophanales; Bacillaceae. The record is from RNAcentral.